UGCGUAGGCGGGUCUUUAAGUCAGGGGUGAAAUCCUGGAGCUCAACUCCAGAACUGCCUUUGAUACUGAGGAUCUUGAGUCCGGGAGAGGUGAGUGGAACUGCGAGUGUAGAGGUGAAAUUCGUAGAUAUUCGCAAGAACACCAGUGGCGAAGGCGGCUCACUGGCCCGGUACUGACGCUGAGGCACGAAAGCUGGGGAGCAAACA
RNAcentral lists this ribosomal RNA (206 nucleotides) under uncultured bacterium. RNAcentral describes it as "partial 16S ribosomal RNA". It matches the Rfam family "Bacterial small subunit ribosomal RNA", at positions 568 to 774 of the family's 1533-position model. The record is from RNAcentral.